This 301-nucleotide ribosomal RNA is filed under the name uncultured bacterium. RNAcentral's name for it is "partial 16S ribosomal RNA". It matches the Rfam family "Bacterial small subunit ribosomal RNA", at positions 509 to 807 of the family's 1533-position model. The record is from RNAcentral.
CAGUCGCCACGGUAAUACGUAGGGUGCAAGCGUUAAUCGGAAUUACUGGGCGUAAAGCGUGCGCAGGCGGUUUGUUAAGACAGAUGUGAAAUCCCCGGGCUUAACCUGGGAACUGCAUUUGUGACUGGCAAGCUAGAGUAUGGCAGAGGGGGGUGGAAUUCCGCGUGUAGCAGUGAAAUGCGUAGAUAUGCGGAGGAACACCGAUGGCGAAGGCAGCCCCCUGGGCCAAUACUGACGCUCAUGCACGAAAGCGUGGGGAGCAAACAGGAUUAGAUACCCCCGUAGUCCCUGUCUCUUAUAC